This 90-nucleotide unclassified non-coding RNA is filed under the name Pseudomonas migulae. Lineage: Bacteria; Pseudomonadati; Pseudomonadota; Gammaproteobacteria; Pseudomonadales; Pseudomonadaceae. The record is from RNAcentral.
UGUAGGAGCCGGCUUGCUGGCGAUGGCGGUGGGUCAGGCGAUUGAUUUAUUGGCUGGCAGUCCGCCAUCGCCAGCAAGCCGGCUCCCACA